CCUACGGGAGGCAGCAGUGAGGAAUAUUGGUCAAUGGGCGAGAGCCUGAACCAGCCAAGUCGCGUGAAGGAUGACUGCCCUACGGGUUGUAAACUUCUUUUGUCAGGGAGCAAAUGGGUCCACGCGUGGGCUUAGCGAGAGUACCUGAAGAAAAAGCAUCGGCUAACUCCGUGCCAGCAGCCGGGGUAAUACGGAGGACGCGAGCGUUAUCCGGAUUUAUUGGGUUUAAAGGGUGCGUAGGCGGACUAUAAAGUCGGCGGUAAAAAUUGGGGGCUCAACCCCGUCGUGCCGUUGAAACUGGUGGUCUUGAGUGGGCGAGAGGUAUGCGGAAUGCGUGGUGUAGCGGUGAAAUGCAUAGAUAUCACGCAGAACUCCGAUUGCGAAGGCAGCAUACCGGCGCCCAACUGACGCUGAGGCACGAAAGCGUGGGUAUCGAACAGGAUUAGAUACCCCUGUAGUC
This 460-nucleotide ribosomal RNA is filed under the name uncultured bacterium. RNAcentral describes it as "partial 16S ribosomal RNA". It matches the Rfam family "Bacterial small subunit ribosomal RNA", at positions 338 to 795 of the family's 1533-position model. The record is from RNAcentral.